CAUUUUUAUUUUUUUUCCUCCGCGGUCAAUUGACGUUUGGCACGGUGUCGGGCUCGGGACGAGCUUUCCGAAAAGUACUCACGGGCCCCGUGAGUCCAUCGGGAUCGAAAGUUAGGCACGUGAACGCAGGGACGCGCGGAUUCCGUUAAUUGAGAAAUUCCAUUUUUUCGUGCGUAAGUAGUAUUCCGUUAAUUGAUCGGAAAUUGCGCGACGGGUCCUCGAAAGGGGGAAGUUGAACACCCGGGACUUUUCUCGAGAAGAGAAAUCAAUUCGCUUCAAGUAAAUUUUCAAUGCAUAACAUGAC
This 304-nucleotide unclassified non-coding RNA is filed under the name Melaleuca sparsa. The record is from RNAcentral. Lineage: Eukaryota; Viridiplantae; Streptophyta; Magnoliopsida; Myrtales; Myrtaceae.